RNAcentral lists this ribosomal RNA (253 nucleotides) under uncultured bacterium. RNAcentral's name for it is "partial 16S ribosomal RNA". It matches the Rfam family "Bacterial small subunit ribosomal RNA", at positions 524 to 776 of the family's 1533-position model. The record is from RNAcentral.
UACGUAGGGUGCAAGCGUUAAUCGGAAUUACUGGGCGUAAAGCGCGCGUAGGCGGCUUUGUAAGUUAGAGGUGAAAGCCCGGGGCUCAACCCCGGAACUGCCUUUAAGACUGCAUCGCUUGAAUCCGGGAGAGGUGAGUGGAAUUCCGAGUGUAGAGGUGAAAUUCGUAGAUAUUCGGAAGAACACCAGUGGCGAAGGCGGCUCACUGGACCGGCAUUGACGCUGAGGUGCGAAAGCGUGGGGAGCGAACAGG